This 583-nucleotide ribosomal RNA is filed under the name uncultured Clostridium sp. Its description in RNAcentral is "bacterial SSU rRNA". It matches the Rfam family "Bacterial small subunit ribosomal RNA", at positions 136 to 735 of the family's 1533-position model. The record is from RNAcentral. Lineage: Bacteria; Bacillati; Bacillota; Clostridia; Eubacteriales; Clostridiaceae.
CAGAGGGAUAGCCAUUGGAAACGAUGAUUAAAACCUCAUAACGCCGGAGAGUCACAUGGUUUUCCGGCCAAAGAUUNAUCGGCAUAAGAUGGGCCUGCGUCUGAUUAGUUAGUUGGUGGGGUAACGGCCUACCAAGGCGACGAUCAGUAGCCGACCUGAGAGGGUGAUCGGCCACAUUGGAACUGAGACACGGUCCAAACUCCUACGGGAGGCAGCAGUGGGGAAUAUUGCACAAUGGGCGAAAGCCUGAUGCAGCAACGCCGCGUGAAGGAAGAAGGCCUUCGGGUCGUAAACUUCUGUCCUAUGGGAAGAAAAAAAUGACGGUACCAUAGGAGGAAGCCCCGGCUAACUACGUGCCAGCAGCCGCGGUAAUACGUAGGGGGCGAGCGUUAUCCGGAAUUAUUGGGCGUAAAGAGUGCGUAGGUGGUAACUUAAGCGCGGGGUUUAAGGCAAUGGCUUAACCAUUGUUCGCCCUGCGAACUGGGAUACUUGAGUGCAGGAGAGGAAAGCGGAAUUCCUAGUGUAGCGGUGAAAUGCGUAGAUAUUAGGAGGAACACCAGUGGCGAAGGCGGCUUUCUGGACU